RNAcentral lists this ribosomal RNA (426 nucleotides) under uncultured bacterium. RNAcentral's name for it is "bacterial SSU rRNA". It matches the Rfam family "Bacterial small subunit ribosomal RNA", at positions 355 to 772 of the family's 1533-position model. The record is from RNAcentral.
UGGGGAAUUGUUCGCAAUGGGCGCAAGCCUGACGACGCAACGCCGCGUGGAGGAUGAAGAUCUUCGGGUCGUAAACUCCUGUCGAGCGGGACGAACACCUGCCUGGCUAAUAUCCGGGCAGGCUGACGGUACCGCUAAAGGAAGCCCCGGCUAACUCCGUGCCAGCAGCCGCGGUAAUACGGGGGGGGCAAGCGUUGUUCGGAAUUACUGGGCGUAAAGGGCUCGUAGGCGGCCAACUAAGUCGGAUGUGAAAUCCCCAGGCUCAACCUGGGAACUGCAUCCGAUACAGGAUGGCUUGAAUUCGGGAGAGGGAUGCAGAAUUCCAGGUGUAGCGGUGAAAUGCGUAGAUAUCUGGAGGAAUACCGGUGGCGAAGGCGGCAUCCUGGACCGACAUUGACGCUGAGGAGCGAAAGCUAGGGGAGCAAA